Long non-coding RNA from Zalophus californianus (California sea lion), 437 nucleotides. RefSeq lists it as uncharacterized. NCBI's taxonomy places the organism in Eukaryota, Metazoa, Chordata, Mammalia, Carnivora, Otariidae. The record is from RefSeq and is a predicted model, not a curated record. The transcript is spliced from 3 exons.
GCGCCCCUCUACAUAGAUUCUACCACUAACUGCCAACUUGAUUCCCAGGUGGGCCUGGGGUAGAGCCCAGGAAUUGACAUCACGGCUCUCAAACUGAUUCAGAUGUGCGGCUCGGUAACCUCAGAAGCCACCCUGUGAGCAGAGGAGGCCUUGGAUCCUACAGGCCCAGACCUUCCCUCCUGCCUGCCCCCCAGGAGGCCUCUGGGCAAUCCUGAGCAGCCCUCUGCUGACCUGUGUCUCAAGGUGAAGGAGUCGCAGAAACAGCGUUGUGUCAAGAAACAAAGGCUGUAAUCUCUAUGCCCAACAUGGGGCUCGAACUCACCACCCAGAGAUCAAGAGUCGCACGCUCUACGGACAGAGCCAGCCAGGCACCCCUGGAUAUCCUUCUUUGAUAACUAUACAAAAACACAAGAAAUGGUAAUUUGUUUAAAGUUAGU